AGAUUAAGUUAUUAAGGGCGCACGGUGGAUGCCUUGGCACUAGAAGCCGAUGAAGGACGUUACUAACGACGAUAUGCUUUGGGGAGCUGUAAGUAAGCUUUGAUCCAGAGAUUUCCGAAUGGGGAAACCCAGCAUGAGUUAUGUCAUGUUAUCGAUAUGUGAAUACAUAGCAUAUCAGAAGGCACACCCGGAGAACUGAAACAUCUUAGUACCCGGAGGAAGAGAAAGAAAAUUCGAUUCCCUUAGUAGCGGCGAGCGAAACGGGAAGAGCCCAAACCAACAAGCUUGCUUGUUGGGGUUGUAGGACACUCUAUACGGAGUUACAAAGGACGACAUUAGACGAAUCAUCUGGAAAGAUGAAUCAAAGAAGGUAAUAAUCCUGUAGUCGAAAAUGUUGUCUCUCUUGAGUGGAUCCUGAGUACGACGGAGCACGUGAAAUUCCGUCGGAAUCUGGGAGGACCAUCUCCUAAGGCUAAAUACUCUCUAGUGACCGAUAGUGAACCAGUACCGUGAGGGAAAGGUGAAAAGCACCCCGGAAGGGGAGUGAAAUAGAACCUGAAACCGUGUGCUUACAAGUAGUCAGAGCCCGUUAAUGGGUGAUGGCGUGCCUUUUGUAGAAUGAACCGGCGAGUUACGAUUUGAUGCAAGGUUAAGCAGUAAAUGUGGAGCCGUAGCGAAAGCGAGUCUGAAUAGGGCGUUUAGUAUUUGGUCGUAGACCCGAAACCAGGUGAUCUACCCUUGGUCAGGUUGAAGUUCAGGUAACACUGAAUGGAGGACCGAACCGACUUACGUUGAAAAGUGAGCGGAUGAACUGAGGGUAGCGGAGAAAUUCCAAUCGAACCUGG
Molecule: ribosomal RNA, 845 nt
Filed under: Staphylococcus aureus
Lineage: Bacteria; Bacillati; Bacillota; Bacilli; Caryophanales; Staphylococcaceae
Description: partial 23S ribosomal RNA
Rfam family: Bacterial large subunit ribosomal RNA
Source: RNAcentral